GGGGCUGUAAUGGUUUCGACGGGAGUCUUGAAAGUAGAGAUAGCCAUCCGCAGUAUCGGUCAACUGCGUAUCAAGGCCGUAACCUUUUAAAAAAGAAACGACAAUAAAUUAGAAUUACAGGCUGCCUAAGCGCGGCCCGUCGGCCCGGGAUUGCUCACAGUCCCGAUAACCGGCGUCGACUUUGUGAGGACCUUUUUUACCUAAGCUUUGCGGUAAAAAAAGAACUAUGAAGCUACCUGAUUCUGCAGCCUGACUGUCGGCGGCAGAGGACGGGAAUUUUAAAGGAUAGUCUGUGAUGGGAGAGGUCUUUACCGAUGGGUUUUCGGACAGGAGUUCGAUUCUCCUCAGCUCCAU
This 354-nucleotide transfer-messenger RNA is filed under the name human gut metagenome. It matches the Rfam family "transfer-messenger RNA". From Rfam's summary of the family: Bacterial tmRNA, also known as 10Sa RNA or SsrA, is named for its dual tRNA and mRNA-like properties. Its role is to liberate the mRNA from a stalled ribosome. The record is from RNAcentral.